GUGAGGAAUAUUGGGCAAUGGGCGGAAGCCUGACCCAGCAACGCCGCGUGGAGGAAUGAAGGCCUUCGGGUUGUAAACUCCUUUUGCAGGGGAAGAGGAAGGACGGUACCCUGCGAAUAAGUCACGGCUAACUACGUGCCAGCAGCCGCGGUAAUACGUAGGUGACGAGCGUUAUCCGGAAUUACUGGGCGUAAAGCGCACGCAGGCGGCUGAAUAAGUCUGACGUGAAAUCUCUCGGCUUAACCGGGAGGGGUCGUUGGAGACUGUUUGGCUUGAGGCGAUGAGAGGGGUGUAGAAUUCCCGGUGUAGUGGUGGAAUGCGUAGAUAUCGGGAGGAAUACCAGUGGCGAAAGCGGCACCCUGGCAUUAGCCUGACGCUCAUGUGCGAAAGCGUGGGGAGCAAACGGGAUUAGAUACCCUUGUAGUCC
This 427-nucleotide ribosomal RNA is filed under the name uncultured Caldilineaceae bacterium. RNAcentral describes it as "bacterial SSU rRNA". It matches the Rfam family "Bacterial small subunit ribosomal RNA", at positions 354 to 796 of the family's 1533-position model. Lineage: Bacteria; Bacillati; Chloroflexota; Caldilineae; Caldilineales; Caldilineaceae. The record is from RNAcentral.